CCUACGGGUGGCAGCAGUAGGGAAUAUUGCUCAAUGGGGGAAACCCUGAAGCAGCAACGCCGCGUGGAGGAUGAAGGUUUUCGGAUUGUAAACUCCUUUUGUCGGGGAACAAAGGGCGCCACGCGUGGCGUUGUGAGUGUACCCGAAGAAAAAGCAUCGGCUAACUCCGUGCCAGCAGCCGCGGUAAUACGGAGGAUGCGAGCGUUAUCCGGAUUUAUGGGGUUUAAAGGGUGCGUAGGCGGUCCGGAAAGUCAGCGGUAAAAGCCCGGGGCUCAACCCCGGCGAGCCGUUGAAACUGUCGGACUAGAGACGGCGAGAAGUACGCGGAAUGCGCGGUGUAGCGGUGAAAUGCAUAGAUAUCGCGCAGAACUCCGAUUGCGAAGGCAGCGUACCGGCGCCGGACUGACGCUGAGGCACGAAAGCGUGGGUAUCGAACAGGAUUAGAUACCCUAGUAGUC
RNAcentral lists this ribosomal RNA (458 nucleotides) under uncultured bacterium. Its description in RNAcentral is "partial 16S ribosomal RNA". It matches the Rfam family "Bacterial small subunit ribosomal RNA", at positions 338 to 795 of the family's 1533-position model. The record is from RNAcentral.